Long non-coding RNA from Acanthochromis polyacanthus (spiny chromis), 1232 nucleotides. RefSeq lists it as uncharacterized. NCBI's taxonomy places the organism in Eukaryota, Metazoa, Chordata, Actinopteri, Pomacentridae. The transcript has 4 exons. The record is from RefSeq and is a predicted model, not a curated record.
ACGCGAGAGUUCCGGUCUUCUUCUAUUCUCGGAGACAGAGGGAAGUAGCUGCCAGCUCAUGAUGCUUGAAGCUGUUCGGCUGCAUUUAUAUGCGAAUAUGAAUUCAGCUGUAACUAAACCGCCUUGAAAAGGCAGCUUUGGAAGAUGUGAAAUGACUCUCACCUUUCUCACAAAUCACAGAAGUUUUGAAAGAAUUGUGGACUGUCGUGCCACUUGAGGGAGAUGGCCACAAGGAGGAAGCACAAUGAAAAGAUUAAGCAGUGCUAAAGUAAGACUGUACGAAGACGCACAGGCCCCCGAAGAUGACAGAAACGGGUAAAUGCACGCUAAAGUUACGCUUCUCUGCUCUAAAAUGUAGAGUCCUGGAAACUUAAAGCUUGACUAGAGCUGUAUAAACAAUUUAGCUUUGGCCAACUGCAGUAGUCGUAAUCUCGCCUUCCCCCCCUCCCCUUUUUUUUAUUUUUUUUAUUUAAUGCUUAACAGAUGGCGCCAGUGGAAAGCAAAAGCAACACCGGCUCAGGAUUAAUCCAUAAGUCUAAUGCCAGAGGAUAAUAUUAAAUGCAGGAUUUUAGUAUGAAAAUUGAGUCACAUUUGAUCAGAAACAUGUUUAUUAAAACUGCAUGUAUAAAAUUCAACCAUUUACAUGAGGGGUAACACGAGUCCUGCUGGGAGGGCUCAGUCUGUGUUGAACGGUGACCUGUAUGAUUUCUUCUUCAGAUUAUCGAGGAAAAUCUGCUCCUCUUGGAGGUAUUCACGGUCCUGUAGGCAGGAAAAUACCCAGUUAACAUCAUUUAGUCAAAAAAUACAUCAAGUGUUUGCAGUUACUGUAGCUGCAAGUGUGGUGUUGAAGAAAAUGGCACAUCCUUUUGCUAGCCCCCGACCCCUAAUGUCACUGUUUAUUCCAUUUCCUUUGUCAUAGAUAACUCGCUUCCCAUUUGUCAUUAAUUGGCAACCAUAUGCAAACUUGCCACUCUUUUCUGUAUGUACAUAUUGUCCCCUCCCAACUGUACAAAAUGUUUUACUCUUAAAUGGUCUGAGUCGGCUUACUUCCAGACUCUUGCUCUGUGUUAAGCCCACUAUAUAACAGAACAGUAAUAAACACCCCCACAACGGCAAACUUCGCAUGAGGACUUUGGGUAAAUUUCUUCAACUGUGAAUGUAUUGAAAGGUUGUGUAACUGGGCUGUAACCAGUUUCAAUUUCACGUGUUCAAUAAAAGCCUGUACAAGAAAA